AAUAAAUUGGUAGGCUUGUAAAUAUUUUGAGAAGGAAUAAAAGAUUUUCAUCGGAUGGUUAAACUUUAUUUCUAAGAAAAACAAUAAACAAUGAUUACAAUUUUGGAACGCAAAGUAUAAAAUAAAAUAAUGUUGGAAAUUACAAGGUUUUUAAUUUAAUGUAUCACAUGGGUAUCAUAAAACUCUAAAUUGACUUUAUACCUGAAUGGCUUAGUGGAGUAUAUCGUUUAAAUUCUUACACUACUUUUGUACAAUACUAUAGGUGUACCAGAAUCUCAUGGCAAACAAAAAUAUUGGAAAAGUGUGUUUUUCAUAUGGCCAUUGUCUAUGGCUUUAUUGUCACCUGUCAAAGUAAAUCAAGAGAUCUGUCAGUCGCUGCAGAAAUUUUGUAAUCUCUUCAUGUCUAUUUAUUAUUUUUGUGAAAAAGACGAAAAAACUCAAGCAAGUCAUAUUGUUUUCAAAGUGUAUUGUAAAAUAAGGCAUAAUCAAAGUCAAUCUUUGAUUUUAAAGCGCGUCGUUGAGUUGACAGUGUAUUUCAUGCAUUGGUGCAGAGGAAUGGUGAAAAUGUUAUGACCAUGUAAAGAAAAUUGAAAAAGAUUUCAUCAAGCAAGUUUGAGUAAUUGAAAUGCUGAAAAAGCGAUUUAUAUUAUAUUAAUACCUCUUUAACUUGAUCAUCUAUUUGAAGAACAAGAAAUGCAAGUGGAGUUCUUAGAAUCGUUUUCUAGUUCUGAAUGAAGUGAUAAGUUAUAAGUAUGAUACUUAAUAAAAUUAUUUACAGUAAUAACGGUUUACUUAUUUUUCAAGACAUGUUCCUAUGUUAAAAACCCAAUGUAUAACAACAUUCUUCAUACAUACACAUACCUAAAAUGUAUAGGUAGGCAUUCGUACUUCAUGUUCAUUAAUAUUAGUCAUAAAUAAAAAUUAAACAGUAUCAAGAUCGUUUAAUCCAAUUUCCCCAGUAUUGCACUCAACAAAGUUUAUUUUCCCCAUUUGCCAUGAGAUUCUGGUACACCUAUAGUUACAUGAAGUCUAAUUUCUGACGCACCUACAUCGAAAAAUUUUGUGAAAAUAAUGUUUUAUGAAUCCCGCCAUACCUAAAAACUUCGACAAGAUGGCUGAAUUUGAAAAGUCGAAAACGCGGGAAUUUUGUACUGGAAAUGACUUUUUGUUUUUUUUUUGUGACUGGCACAGGCGUUUAGACGUCCAUGCCGAGGAGUUUCUUGUCGAAGAUAAACUCGCCGAGCGAUGGGUGGCGUUCCAGCA
Molecule: long non-coding RNA, 1263 nt
Organism: Ostrinia nubilalis (European corn borer)
Lineage: Eukaryota; Metazoa; Arthropoda; Insecta; Lepidoptera; Crambidae
Exons: 2
Source: RefSeq, a predicted model, not a curated record